This 476-nucleotide ribosomal RNA is filed under the name uncultured bacterium. RNAcentral's name for it is "bacterial SSU rRNA". It matches the Rfam family "Bacterial small subunit ribosomal RNA", at positions 382 to 849 of the family's 1533-position model. The record is from RNAcentral.
GCUGACGCAGCAACGCCGCGUGGGUGAUGAAGGCCUUCGGGUCGUAAAGCCCUGUCAGGUGGGAAGAAAGGCCUGGAGAGGAAAGGUUUCAGGUUUGACGGUACCACCAGAGGAAGCACCGGCUAACUCCGUGCCAGCAGCCGCGGUAAUACGGAGGGUGCGAGCGUUAUUCGGAAUUACUGGGCGUAAAGCGCGUGUAGGCGGGGGGACAAGUCUGAUGUGAAAGNCCUGGGCUUAACCUGGGAAGCGCAUUGGAAACUGUUUUUCUUGAGUACUGGAGAGGAAGGGGGAAUUCCCGGUGUAGAGGUGAAAUUCGUAGAGAUCGGGAGGAAUACCAGUGGCGUAGGCGCCCUUCUGGACGGUAACUGACGCUGAGACGCGAAAGCGUGGGGAGCAAACAGGAUUAGAUACCCUGGUAGUCCACGCUGUAAACGAUGAUCACUAGGUGUAGCGGGUACUCAUUCCUGCUGUGCCGC